Molecule: small nucleolar RNA, 219 nt
Organism: Gorilla gorilla gorilla (western lowland gorilla)
Lineage: Eukaryota; Metazoa; Chordata; Mammalia; Primates; Hominidae
Gene: U3
Rfam family: Small nucleolar RNA U3
About the family: Small nucleolar RNAs (snoRNAs) are involved in the processing and modification of rRNA in the nucleolus. There are two main classes of snoRNAs: the box C/D class, and the box H/ACA class.
Source: Ensembl
CAGAUCUUUAUACUUUCAGGGAUCAAUUCUAUAGUAGGUUACUAGAGAAAUGUUUCUGAACAGAGUAGGGGGAGAAAUCUCAAUGAAAAGCUGCAGUAGCUCUCCUGAGCAUGAAGCUGGCAGGUGGUGCCACCUGGUGGUAGCCACUGCUUGCUGUCGAUGACCGUUCUUUGCUCCUUGGACAAGGAUAAGAGAGAGAGAGAACACAAGCUGCGGGUU